UUAAGUCAGGCAACAAGCGAGACCCACGCCCACAGUUGCCAGCGUACUCUCUGGAGUGACGGGUACACUGUGGGGACCGCCGCUGCUAAAGCGGAGGAAGGAAUGGGCAACGGUAGGUCAGUAUGCCCCGAAUGUCCCGGGCUACACGCGGGCUACAAUGGUUGGUACAAUGGGUAUCUACCCCGAAAGGGGAUGGAAAUCUCCUAAAGCCAAUCUUAGUUCGGAUUGAGGGCUGCAACUCGCCCUCAUGAAGCUGGAAUCCGUAGUAAUCGCGUUUCAAUAGAACGCGGUGAAUACGUCCCUGCUCCUUGCACA
This 315-nucleotide ribosomal RNA is filed under the name uncultured archaeon. RNAcentral describes it as "bacterial SSU rRNA". It matches the Rfam family "Archaeal small subunit ribosomal RNA", at positions 1029 to 1343 of the family's 1478-position model. The record is from RNAcentral.